This 310-nucleotide ribosomal RNA is filed under the name uncultured bacterium. Its description in RNAcentral is "bacterial SSU rRNA". It matches the Rfam family "Bacterial small subunit ribosomal RNA", at positions 28 to 334 of the family's 1533-position model. The record is from RNAcentral.
GAUGAACGCUAGCGACAGGCUUAACACAUGCAAGUCGAGGGGCAGCGGGGGCAGCAAUGCCUGCCGGCGACCGGCGCACGGGUGAGUAACGCGCAUGCAACUUGCCUAUCAGAGGGGAAUAGCCCGGCGAAAGUCGGAUUAAUGCUCCAUAAAACAGGGGUCCCGCAUGGGAAUAUUUGUUAAAGAUUCAUCGCUGAUAGAUAGGCAUGCGUUCCAUUAGGCAGUUGGCGGGGUAACGGCCCACCAAACCGACGAUGGAUAGGGGUUCUGAGAGGAAGGUCCCCCACAUUGGAACUGAGACACGGUCCAA